Perognathus longimembris pacificus (Pacific pocket mouse) is the source of this 1211-nucleotide long non-coding RNA. RefSeq lists it as uncharacterized. The record is from RefSeq and is a predicted model, not a curated record. The transcript has 2 exons. NCBI's taxonomy places the organism in Eukaryota, Metazoa, Chordata, Mammalia, Rodentia, Heteromyidae.
GGCAGGUGGUUUCAGACUUGGCUUUCCCCCCUGGUCUCUUGUUUUAUUUAAGAUGACCAAAAUUUGUGUGAAAAGAUGCAAGGUGAGAAAAUGAAUGAGGGAAAAACAUGGAGACACACAUAUGGAAAAUGAGAACAUGAUUACAGCCUCUGCCUUUCUCUCCCACAGGCUUGGGGAAUGAACUGCACCAGUUAGCAUGUUCAUUCUGUUCCCUUUGCAUGCACAACUUCCUGAAAACAGGCUAGUCAAUGAAGAUUUUCUGGUAGCAUCCAAAUGAAGGAAAAACAGAAUUCAUAUGAGAAAGAAGUACGUGUGGAAAAAGAGAAAAAUUGAUCAAGGGUAGGAAACUGCAGUGCAAAAUUUCAAGGAUAAAUCUGUUGACUACAUCUUUGGAAUUCCUUAUGUCUGCGCAUACUUCCAAAAGGAAAUCACUGGCUCCCCUGAAGUUUCUUGUUAUUUCUGCACUGGAAGACUAAGCCUACAUCAACUAGUGUUCUUCCCUCCUUAGUGAAGACUUGAGGGUUAUAAGUAGUAUAGGUGUGCAUGUCCAGUUCAAGAGCAAGAAAGACUACUGCACACAUGCACUAAACACACACACACAAUAUGAAGAUGCCUACUGCUUUGGCUUAGCAUCUCCAGAACACUCUUUAAUCCUCGUUUAGCUUAUUAAUAUUGUACUUUAAGAUAAAAGCUAAACAUGAUUAGAUAUUAAAGGUGAGACUAAAUAAAAAAGGAAAAAUAAUUAAAUACAAGUUUCAGUUGUACAUUACAAUGCUUUAGCAACCAAAUGCAUAACAAGUAAGUAGUCAUCCUAAAACACUGAUUCUCAAGGUCGCAGCCCUCCUGUUUGGCAUAACUAUCAACAUAUUAUAGAUAUAAAUUCAUUCAUAUUGGAAAUAUGAAUAAUAGAGACAAUAGUAGACACAGUUGCCUUGAUACUAUGGUAAGUACAGAAGCAGUCAUAUGGGUAAGUAGAGUCUAUACAAUGAUUCUCACCCGAGCCCUAUGUAGAAGAAAAUCACACCAAAGGUGAUAUGUCCUUUCAGUCUGUGAUUUAAAUAUGGCCAUGCCAAAAGUAGCAGUGAAAAAUGAGGUAUUCAAUAACGAAGGGAGCCAUAUAAGCUAAACAAAGACAGCAUUUAGCUUGGCUGGCAUAGAAAAACAUACUUCUACUUAACACCUUUUUUUUCCCAAUGAACUUUUUGCUAAAA